This 253-nucleotide ribosomal RNA is filed under the name uncultured bacterium. RNAcentral's name for it is "partial 16S ribosomal RNA". It matches the Rfam family "Bacterial small subunit ribosomal RNA", at positions 524 to 776 of the family's 1533-position model. The record is from RNAcentral.
UACAGAGGUCUCAAGCGUUGUUCGGAUUCAUUGGGCGUAAAGGGUGUGUAGGUGGCGCCGUUAGUCGGGUGUGAAAUUUCGGAGCUUAACUCCGAAACUGCAUUCGAUACUGCGGUGCUUGAGGACUGGAGAGGAGACUGGAAUUCAUGGUGUAGCAGUGAAAUGCGUAGAGAUCAUGAGGAAGACCAGUGGCGAAGGCGGGUCUCUGGGCAGUAACUGACGCUGAGGAGCGAAAGCGUGGGGAGCGAACAGG